This 253-nucleotide ribosomal RNA is filed under the name uncultured bacterium. RNAcentral describes it as "partial 16S ribosomal RNA". It matches the Rfam family "Bacterial small subunit ribosomal RNA", at positions 524 to 776 of the family's 1533-position model. The record is from RNAcentral.
UACGUAGGGUGCAAGCGUUGUCCGGAAUCAUUGGGCGUAAAGCGCGUGUAGGCGGCUUCGUCAGUCCGUUGUGAAAGUCCAGGGCUCAACCCUGGAAUGCCGAUGGAUACUGCGGAGCUCGAGUCCGGAAGAGGCGAGUGGAAUUCCUGGUGUAGCGGUGAAAUGCGCAGAUAUCAGGAGGAACACCAAUGGCGAAGGCAGCUCGCUGGGACGGUACUGACGCUGAGACGCGAAAGCGUGGGGAGCAAACAGG